UGUGAAGAUGACUAAAAUCUGUGGGAAUGAUGAUUUUUAAUCUGUCAUGUGCAUUGGAAAUCCCUGAGGCAAAUGUUGGAAGGUUUAGGUUAUGUUGUCAUUAUUUUGUUUCGGUUCAUUUUUCCUUUGUUUCUUUGUUUUGCUCGAGGACUAGCAAAAGCUAAGUGUGGGGGAAUUUGAUAGGAGCAUAUUUAUGCGCCUUAGUUAACUAGUUCUUAUGCAUUUUCGUUAUGUUUUCUUAGUUUAAAGUAGUCUUUUAAGCUAGUUUCAUGUGUUUUCAGGUUUUAAGGGCAUAUUACAUAAAAUGAUGCAAUUUGGAGCCUUUUGGAGCAAAAUGGAGCUUAGAUUGAAAAGUACAUGCUUGGAACACAAGGUUUGGACAAAAUUGAAGAUUUGAAGAUUUGAGGAUUCCUAGUCCAAGAAGGAUUCCUAGUCCGAGGAGGAGUCCUAAUUGAAGAAGGAUUCCUAAUCAACGAGGGAUUCCUAGUUAAAGAUGGAUUCCUAGAAGAAUGAAGAUUCCUACUCAAACGAAGUUUCCUACUUGAAGUAGGAAAGCUAAGCCUAAAAGUUUCCAUUUUGGGUUGAUCUUUCCUAAACCUAAAUGGCCUUGAGUUUAAGCAAUCUUAGAAGGUUCCUAAGCGUUGAAAGACACAAAGAGGGGUUCUAGAAUAUUUUCUCAUCCUUGUCGUGGGUUAGGGCCUAUUUCUUCUUGGUUUUGGUCUUUCUAGAAGCCCUAUUUGCUCACCCUAAACCUGCCGCACCUUUCCCCUUUCUAGAAACCCUUUGCCUUGCCUUGCAAGGCAUUCUAGAAGGC
RNAcentral lists this long non-coding RNA (814 nucleotides) under Malus domestica (apple). RNAcentral's name for it is "long non-coding RNA (MDOM_LNC011400)". The record is from RNAcentral. Lineage: Eukaryota; Viridiplantae; Streptophyta; Magnoliopsida; Rosales; Rosaceae.